RNAcentral lists this ribosomal RNA (486 nucleotides) under uncultured bacterium. Its description in RNAcentral is "partial 16S ribosomal RNA". It matches the Rfam family "Bacterial small subunit ribosomal RNA", at positions 28 to 523 of the family's 1533-position model. The record is from RNAcentral.
GAUGAACGCUGGCGGCGUGCUAAACACAUGCAAGUCGAACGGAAAGGCCCCAGCUUGCUGGGGUACUCGAGUGGCGAACGGGUGAGUAACACGUGGGUGAUCUGCCCUGCAUUUUGGGAUAAGCUUGGGAAACUGGGUCUACUACCGAAUAUGACCACCUCUUGGAUGUUGUGGUGGAAAUCUUCUGCGGUGUGGGAUGAGCCUGCGGCCUAUCAGCUUGUUGGUGGGGUAAUGGCCUACCAAGGCGGCGACGGGUAUCCGGCCUGAGAGGGUGUACGGACACAUUGGGACUGAGAUACGGCCCAGACUCCUACGGGAGGCAGCAGUGGGGAAUAUUGCACAAUGGGCGCAAGCCUGAUGCAGCGACGCCGCGUGGGGGAUGAAGGCCUUCGGGUUGUAAACUCCUUUCGCUAUCGACGAAGCCACUUGUGGUGACGGUAGGUAGAUAAGAAGCACCGGCUAACUACGUGCCAGCCGCCGCAGUAA